This 1284-nucleotide ribosomal RNA is filed under the name Triticum aestivum (bread wheat). Its description in RNAcentral is "partial small subunit ribosomal RNA". Lineage: Eukaryota; Viridiplantae; Streptophyta; Magnoliopsida; Poales; Poaceae. The record is from RNAcentral.
AUGGCCGCGGACGCCGCCGCCGCCGCCGCGGGGCCCCGCCGGUGGCGCUGCGAGGAGGAGGAGCGGCAGCCGCACCGCCUCUCGGCCGCCGCGGCGGCCGACGACCGCUUCGACGGCCUCCCCGACCCGCUGCUCCUCCUCAUCUUCAACCGCAUCGGCGACGUCAAGGCGCUCGGCCGCUGCGCGCUCGUCUCCCGCCGCUUCCACGCCCUCGUGCCCCUCGUCGACUCCGUGCUCGUCCGCGUCGACUGCGUCAUCCCCGACGACCCCGCCUCCUCCGCCUCGGGCUCCCCGUCCUCCUCCGCGCCCUCCUCCCCCACCGCCUCCGCCUCCGCCCGCGCGCGCGGCGUCUUCUCCCAGAUCGCGCGCAUGCUCAUCGGCGGCAUCGUCAAGCCCAUCCAGGCGCUCGGCCAGAUCCUCUCCCACGCCGGCUCCGCCUCCGACUUCCCGGCCUCCGCCUCCCUCUCCUCCUUCCGCCGCUCCGCCGCCUCCUCGCUCUCGUCCUCGGCGUCGGCGCCCCCCGGCGACGUCUCGCACCACUCGCCCUCCGAGGUGCUCCGCUCCUUCAAGGAGCUCCGCAGCCUGCGCAUCGAGCUCCCCGCCGGCGAGCUCGGCAUGGACGACGGCGUGCUGCUCAAGUGGAAGGCCGACUUCGGCUCCACGCUCGGCAGCUGCGUCAUCCUCGGCGCCGCCUCCGCCUCCGCCUCGCCCUCCUCUGCCGCCAAGGACGGCGCCACUGCCGCACCUCCUCCUGCGACCGCUGAUUGUGCCGAGUCUGACGAUUCAGGGAGCAUACCGGAGUCCUUCUACACCAACGGGGGGCUUAAGCUGCGGGUGCUAUGGACCAUCAGCUCGCUGAUUGCGGCGUCGGCCCGGCAUUACCUGCUGCAGCCCAUCAUUUCCGACCACGCGUUGCUGGAGAGCCUGGAUCUGACGGACGCCGAUGGGCAGGGCGUGCUCACCAUGGACAAGUGGCAACUGCAGGAGCUACGGGUCAGGCCAGUAUCAGCGUCUGGUGACUCGCACCGCACGCUCAUGCCGGCCCUUAGCAUGCGGUUGUGGUAUGCGCCACACAUUGAGCUGCCUGGGGGCACGGUCUUGAAUGGAGCAACACUGGUGGCCAUCAAGCCGAGCGAAGAGGCAAUGAUGGAUGCAGUUGGGAAUGCAACUGCUGGGUCAGCAGGUGGAUCCUGGGUUUCAGAUGCUUUUGAGGAGCCAUAUCGGACGGCCGUCGGUGUGCUUCUCAAGCGGAGGAUGUAUAGCCUUGAGAUGAACUCAUUCUAA